CGAGAUUUUUUCUUUGUCCCUUUCGUCUUGCUUUCCGAGAAUAUCGCUUCUGUUGCAUUCUUUUUUCUUUCAGUUCCAACUGAUUAUGCUGAUUUAACCAAGAACACUGGCUUUUGGGCUUCUAGGGUCAUCAUUUCCUUCUCCCAUCACCACCGUUCGAUUGGAGAUUUGUUCGUGGACGACUUAAAGUGUGUAGCUGUCUCCCAUAUUGUUUGGAGUUCAGGUAUCACCCCCCACUUCCUCACGAGGAACUCGGACAGGCGACACUUUGGCAUCAACAAGUCAGACACUGCCAUAUAAAGGGAUCUGGACCCUACAUUCAAGCCCAAAUCAACGUUUUAGUUCAACGGUUAAGAAGGACCAACCUCCUAAGUUGAACGCCCAAAAUUGACAUUCAACGCCAGCCAGGGAGCAGAAGACAGAGAGAUCACCCCUUUUAUGGGCUCUAAGUUUAAUGCCAGGCUUGACCAAAGCACAUGACUAAAGUGGGUCCAAAGUAGAUUUUAGCACUCCUUAGCUUAUUUAGUCUUAUCUUUGUAACUUUUAAAUUUAAAAUUAACAUCUUGUAGGUUUAAUCUUAGAGGUUUUUACUAUAAAUAAGGGACUUCCUUCCUCCAAAGGAUCACGCCUCCCGGGAGGGGAGAUUCAGACACACACGGAAUAUUAUGUUCAGAUCUUUUUUGUUUUCUCUGUAAAGUAUGAGUAACUAAACCUCCUAGUUAAGGUUAGGAGCUUUGCUUGUUCCCAUGGAUUAAUACUAUUACUUUUUUAUUUUCA
Long non-coding RNA from Arachis stenosperma, 777 nucleotides. RefSeq lists it as uncharacterized. Lineage: Eukaryota; Viridiplantae; Streptophyta; Magnoliopsida; Fabales; Fabaceae. The transcript has 4 exons. The record is from RefSeq and is a predicted model, not a curated record.